AUACGUCAAAUCAUCAUGCCCCUUAUGUCCAGGGCAUUUCACACAUGCUACAAUGGUCGGUACAGUGGGUUGCGAUGCCGUGAGGUGGAGCUAAUCCCUGAAAGCCGGUCUCAGUUCGGAUCGGGGUCUGCAACUCGACMCNGUGAAGUCGGAGUCGCUAGUAAUCGCAGAUCAGCAACGCUGCGGUGAAUACGUUCCCGGGCCUUGUACACACCGCCNGUCACGUCAUGAAAGUCGGUAACACCCGAAGCCAGUGGCCCAACCCUUGUGGGGGGAGCUGUCGAAGGUGGAUCGGCGAUUGGACGANGUCGUA
Molecule: ribosomal RNA, 313 nt
Filed under: Corynebacterium xerosis
Lineage: Bacteria; Bacillati; Actinomycetota; Actinomycetes; Mycobacteriales; Corynebacteriaceae
Description: bacterial SSU rRNA
Rfam family: Bacterial small subunit ribosomal RNA
Source: RNAcentral